GACGAACGCUGGCGGCGUGCUUAACACAUGCAAGUCGAACGGUAAGGCCCUUCGGGGUACACGAGUGGCGAACGGGUGAGUAACACGUGGGUGAUCUGCCCUGCACUUCGGGAUAAGCCUGGGAAACUGGGUCUAAUACCGGAUAGGACUCCUGGCUUCAUGGUUGGGGGUGGAAAGCUUUUGCGGUGUGGGAUGGGCCCGCGGUCUAUCAGCUUGUUGGUGGGGUAAUGGCCUACCAAGGCGACGACGGGUAGCCGGCCUGAGAGGGUGACCGGUCACACGGGGACUGAGAUACGGCCCAGACUCCUACGGGAGGCAGCAGUGGGGAAUAUUGCACAAUGGGCGCAAGCCUGAUGCAGCGACGCCGCGUGAGGGAUGACGGCCUUCGGGUUGUAAACCUCUUUCAGCUAUGACGAAGCGCAAGUGACGGUAGUAGCAGAAGAAGGACCGGCCAACUACGUGCCAGCCGCCGCAGUAA
This 478-nucleotide ribosomal RNA is filed under the name uncultured bacterium. Its description in RNAcentral is "partial 16S ribosomal RNA". It matches the Rfam family "Bacterial small subunit ribosomal RNA", at positions 28 to 523 of the family's 1533-position model. The record is from RNAcentral.